GACGUAGGGCGCAAGCGUUGUCCGGAUUUAUUGGGCGUAAAGAGCUCGUAGGCGGUUUGUUGCGUCGGCCGUGAAAACCUGCAGCUUAACUGUGGGCCUGCGGCCGAUACGGGCAGACUUGAGUUCGGUAGGGGAGACUGGAAUUCCUGGUGUAGCGGUGAAAUGCGCAGAUAUCAGGAGGAACACCGGUGGCGAAGGCGGGUCUCUGGGCCGAUACUGACGCUGAGGAGCGAAAGCGUGGGGAGCAAACAGG
Molecule: ribosomal RNA, 253 nt
Filed under: uncultured bacterium
Lineage: Bacteria
Description: partial 16S ribosomal RNA
Rfam family: Bacterial small subunit ribosomal RNA
Source: RNAcentral